Molecule: ribosomal RNA, 460 nt
Filed under: uncultured bacterium
Lineage: Bacteria
Description: partial 16S ribosomal RNA
Rfam family: Bacterial small subunit ribosomal RNA
Source: RNAcentral
CCUACGGGGCGCUACAGUGAGGAAUAUUGGUCAAUGGACGAGAGUCUGAACCAGCCAAGUAGCGUGAAGGAUGACUGCCCUAUGGGUUGUAAACUUCUUUUAUAUGGGAAUAAAACGUUCCACGUGUGGGAUUUUGUAUGUACCAUAUGAAUAAGGAUCGGCUAACUCCGUGCCAGCAGCCGCGGUAAUACGGAGGAUCCGAGCGUUAUCCGGAUUUAUUGGGUUUAAAGGGAGCGUAGGUGGAUUGUUAAGUCAGUUGUGAAAGUUUGCGGCUCAACCGUAAAAUUGCAGUUGAAACUGGCAGUCUUGAGUACAGUAGAGGUGGGCGGAAUUCGUGGUGUAGCGGUGAAAUGCUUAGAUAUCACGAAGAACUCCGAUUGCGAAGGCAGUUCACUGGACUGCAACUGACACUGAGGCUCGAAAGUGUGGGUAUCAAACAGGAUUAGAUACCCUAGUAGUC